RNAcentral lists this ribosomal RNA (570 nucleotides) under uncultured bacterium. RNAcentral's name for it is "bacterial SSU rRNA". It matches the Rfam family "Bacterial small subunit ribosomal RNA", at positions 240 to 803 of the family's 1533-position model. The record is from RNAcentral.
AUCAGUUAGUUGGCGGGGAAAAAGCCCACCAAGGAGACGACGGGUAGCUGGAUCAAGAGGACGACCAGCCACACUGGAACUGAGACACGGUCCAGACACCUACGGGUGGCAGCAGUCGAGAAUCUUUCACAAUGGGGGCAACCCUGAUGGAGCGACGCCGCGUGGAGGAUAAGGUCUUCGGAUUGUAAACUCCUGUCAUGCGAGAACAAGGUUGCAGGGAUAAUACCUUUGCAAAUUGAUGGUACCGCAAGAGGAAGAGACGGCUAACUCUGUGCCAGCAGCCGCGGUAAUACAGAGGUCUCAAGCGUUGUUCGGAAUCACUGGGCGUAAAGGGUGCGUAGGUGGCGUGGAAAGUCAGAUGUGAAAGCCCGGGGCUCAACCUCGGAAUUGCAUCCGAUACUACCAUGCUAGAGCACUGAAGAGGUGACUAGAAUUCUCGGUGUAGCAGUGAAAUGCGUAGAUAUCGAGAGGAAUACCAACGGCGAAGGCAGGUCACUGGGCAGUUACUGACACUGAGGCACGAAGGCUAGGGUAGCGAACGGGAUUAGAUACCCCGGUAGUCCUAGCAGU